UAAGGUUUUAUCGCAGCUAAAUUAUCUGUUGCACUUAGCCAGAAACAGAAACAUUGGUUUGGUUGUUUCACAAUUGAAUCUUAGCUUCCAAAGUCCAACUGCUAUCGAGAAGUGCAUUCGUUGGGUUAUAGAUCAAACAUUUUCCGUCGAAAAUGCGCAGCUUUUGUUCUUGUGUGCUACUUUAGGUUACAUUGUGCCAAUUAAGGAGCAAUACUGCUUGCCUUUACCUAAAGAUGAAACAACGAAACAAGCAUUUGAUAAAUUGCUUCAAAAUCUUGCAAACUGUGCUAAACGAAAUUUUAGUAUUCCUGAAAAUUGCUUGCAUCUUCUCAAGAAAAGUGCUUAUACCUUGGUCCAAGGCAGUAGUAAUCCAGGAUGGCUUACAUUUGCUGCAUAUUUUAGGCACUUCUUUGGAAUGCAGUAUAUUCUAAGCGUAAAAAUGGAGCGAUGCGAAUAUAACAAAGAAGAUUUCUUCAAAUUGUUUUCUUUAAUGAUUAUCACUCUGCCUAGCAUCAGAAAAGUAAAACGUGACGAAGGUUCUUUCUUUAAGCCGUUCCUAGAACGUAUACUGCAAUUUGCUACUGAUGAUGAUGUCCUAUUUCAAAUGUUCCAAAAUCCAGAUGUGCGCCGUUUCUUUCCUUCGCAACGCGAAAGAGAAUAUUUCUUCAUUGAGUUUUACAAAGAUUGUCUGAAUGGUAAAACCGGCAACCUUGGUGAAAAACUGGAACAUCUGAAUAGACUUCCUGAGAACAUUCGUAGUAAAAUGUCUGGCCUGAUUUACGAAUAUGUGCAGCAGUUUAUUGACAAUGUUGAUGAACCUUUACCCAAGGAUAUGGAUGCUGUUUUUCACCUAAUUUCGGAGAGUUUAACAGAUGAAAGGUUUUACUAUCUUCUUGGAGAUCUAUCGAAAUCAUCGUCAGCGAGCCAUGAUGAUCUAUUGUUUCAACUAUUAAACGACAAAAGGUUUACAAAACUAUCAACUACUGAAAAAGUCAAGAUCUGCAAUUCCUGGGUGGAAACGAAAACACACUCAAGCGGUAAAAACAGUGGGAGAAUUAAAGGAACAUUUGAGGCAGUUGACAUUCUAAUAUCCUGCACACACAUUUCUUCAAAUGAUAAGCUUAUCCAGCACUUGUGCGAAAAUGCCUUCAAUUGCCUCUUACGCGAAGAACCUGUUCGUCUUAUUGAAGAAUUCAAAGAAAUUGAAAAUUAUUCAGUCCAUGUUCAGAAUUGUUUCCAGGAGCUCGUUCAAGAAACAUUGCACCGACAUCCAUAUCUUGUGACGAAUAAAGAAGUACUCCGUAAGCUCUGUGACAAUACAAGGUAAGCUGCACAUUUGUAUUGAUAGGCGUAGGAAACGGGGAGGG
Molecule: non-coding RNA, 1367 nt
Organism: Paramuricea clavata
Lineage: Eukaryota; Metazoa; Cnidaria; Anthozoa; Malacalcyonacea; Plexauridae
Source: the annotation of a GenBank genome assembly